GAUGAACGCUGGCGGCGUGCUUAACACAUGCAAGUCGAACGAUGAAGCCCAGCUUGCUGGGUGGAUUAGUGGCGAACGGGUGAGUAACACGUGAGUAACCUGCCCUUAACUCUGGGAUAAGCCUGGGAAACUGGGUCUAAUACCGGAUAGGAGCGUCCACCGCAUGGUGGGUGUUGGAAAGAUUUAUCGGUUUUGGAUGGACUCGCGGCCUAUCAGCUUGUUGGUGAGGUAAUGGCUCACCAAGGCGACGACGGGUAGCCGGCCUGAGAGGGUGACCGGCCACACUGGGACUGAGACACGGCCCAGACUCCUACGGGAGGCAGCAGUGGGGAAUAUUGCACAAUGGGCGCGAGCCUGAUGCAGCGACGCCGCGUGAGGGAUGACGGCCUUCGGGUUGUAAACCUCUUUCAGUAGGGAAGAAGCGAAAGUGACGGUACCUGCAGAAGAAGCACCGGCUAACUACGUG
RNAcentral lists this ribosomal RNA (466 nucleotides) under uncultured bacterium. RNAcentral's name for it is "partial 16S ribosomal RNA". It matches the Rfam family "Bacterial small subunit ribosomal RNA", at positions 28 to 507 of the family's 1533-position model. The record is from RNAcentral.